Eubalaena glacialis (North Atlantic right whale) is the source of this 4689-nucleotide RNA transcript. It is a transcript of the gene named pleckstrin homology and RhoGEF domain containing G5, with no coding region annotated. Lineage: Eukaryota; Metazoa; Chordata; Mammalia; Artiodactyla; Balaenidae. The transcript has 24 exons. The record is from RefSeq and is a predicted model, not a curated record.
CCCGGCCGGCCCGCGGCGGCCCCCGCACCGCCCGCGUUCCCGGCCUCCCGGCGCCUCUUCCAUGGAAGACCGGAGCCUGGCUGAAGAGAGGGGGCUGUGCUGUCAGAACCCCGACUGCAUGGACAAGGGGCGGGCGGCUAAGGUAUGCCACCACGCCGACUGCCAGCAGCUGCACCGCCGGGGCCCCCUCAGCCUCUGCGAGGCCUGUGACAGCAAGUUCCACAGCGCCAUGCAUUAUGAUGGGCACGUCCGCUUCGACCUGCCCCCCCAAGGGCCAUCAGAAGGACACGAGUUGACUGUAAACGAUGAAACCCAAGUCCACUGCCGUCCCUCUUGUUCCACAAGUUUUUUAACAGGAGAAAAAGUUGGGGACCGGCCCAGCUCGAAGGCAGGCUCUGUCCUGGCUCGGAAUGUGUCCACCCGGUCAUGCCCCCCGCGCACCAGCCCUGCAGUGGACGUGGAGGAGGAGGAGGAGAGCUCUGUGGAUGGCAAGGGGGACCGGAAGAGCACAGGCCUGAAGCUCUCCAAGAAGAAAGCCUGGAGGAGACACACAGAUGACCCAAGCAAGGAGUGCUUCACGCUGAAAUUUGACCUGAACGUGGAUAUCGAGACAGAGAUCGUGCCAGCCAUGAAGAAGAAGACGCUGGGGGAGGUGCUGCUGCCAGUAUUUGAAAGGAAGAGCAUUGCGCUGGGCAAAGUGGAUAUCUACCUGGACCAGUCCAACACGCCCCUGUCCCUCACCUUUGAGGCCUACAGGUUUGGGGGACACUACCUGCGGGUCAAAGCCAAGCCAGGGGACGAAGGGAAGGUAGAGCAGGGGGUGAAGGACUCCAAGUCCCUGAGUCUGCCAAUCCUGCGGCCAGCCGGGGCCGGGCCCCCCACCCAGGAGCGCGUGGACCCGCAGAGCCGCCGGGAGAGCCUGGACAUCCUGGCCCCUGGCCGCCGACGCAAGAACAUGUCGGAGUUCCUGGGGGAGGCGAGCAUCCCCGGGCAGGAGCCCCCAGCGCCCUCCAGCUGCUCUCUGCCCAGCGGCAGCAGUAGUGGCAGCAGCAGCAGCAGUGGCGGCAGUGACAGCUGGAAGAACCGGGCGGCCAGUCGCUUCAGUGGCUUCUUCAGCUCAGGCCCCAGCACCAGCGCCUUCGGCCGGGAGGUGGACAAACUGGAGCAGCUGGAGGGCAAGCUGCAUGCCUACAGCCUCUUCGGGCUGCCCAGGCUGCCCCGGAGGCUGUGCUUUGACCACGACUCGUGGGAGGAGGAAGGUGACGAAGAGGAGGACGAGGACGACGCCUGCCUGCGGCUGGAGGACAGCUGGCGGGAGCUCAUCGACGGGCACGAGAAGCUGACCCGGCGGCAGUGCCACCAGCAGGAGGCGGUGUGGGAGCUCCUGCACACAGAGGCCUCCUACAUUAAGAAACUGAGGGUGAUCACCAACCUGUUCCUGUGCUGCCUCCUGAAUCUGCAAGAGUCAGGGCUGCUGUGUGAGGUGGAGGCGGAGCGCCUGUUCAGCAACGUCCCGGAGAUCGCGCGGCUGCACCGCGGGCUGUGGGGCAGCGUGAUGGCGCCGGUGCUGGAGAAGGCGCGGCGCACGCGGGCGCUGCUGCAGCCCGCGGAUUUCCUCAAAGGCUUUAAGAUGUUCGGCUCCCUCUUCAAGCCCUACAUCCGAUACUGCAUGGAGGAGGAGAGCUGCAUGGAGUACAUGCGGGGCCUACUACGCGACAACGACCUCUUCCGGGCCUACGUCACGUGGGCCGAGAAGCACCAGCAGUGCCAGCGGCUGAAGCUGAGCGACAUGCUGGCCAAGCCCCACCAGCGGCUCACCAAGUACCCGCUGCUGCUCAAGUCGGUGCUAAGGAAGACCGACGAGCCGCGCGCCAAGGAGGCCGUCGUCACCAUGAUCGGCUCGGUGGAGCGCUUCAUCCACCACGUGAACGCGUGCAUGCGGCAGCGACAGGAGAGGCAGCGGCUGGCGGCUGUCGUGAGCCGCAUCGACGCCUACGAGGUGGUGGAGGGCAGCAACGACGAGGUGGACAAGCUCCUGAAGGAAUUUCUACAUCUGGACCUGACGGCACCCAUCCCUGGCGCCUCCCCUGAGGAGACACGCCAGCUGCUGCUGGAAGGGAGCCUGAGGAUGAAGGAGGGGAAGGACAGCAAGAUGGACGUGUACUGCUUCCUCUUCACCGACCUGCUCUUGGUGACCAAGGCGGUGAAGAAGGCAGAGAGGACCAAGGUGAUCAGGCCACCGCUGCUGGUGGAAAAGAUCGUGUGCCGGGAGCUUCGGGACCCUGGGUCCUUCCUUCUCAUCUACCUGAACGAGUUCCACAGCGCCGUGGGGGCCUACACGUUCCAGGCCAGCGGCCAGGCUUUGUGCCGUGGCUGGGUGGACGCCAUCUACGAUGCCCAGAACCAGCUUCAGCAGCUGCGCAUGCAGGAGCACCCAGGCGGCCAGCAGCACCUGCAGAGCCUGGCAGAGGAGGAGGAUGAGCAGGAGGAAGAGGAGGAGGAGGACGACGAGGAGGAGGAAGGAGGGGAGAGUAGCACUUCGGCGGCCAGUUCCCCUACCAUCCUGCGCAAAAGCAGCAACAGCCUCGACUCGCAGCGCUGUGUCUCGGAUGGCUCCACGGAGACCCUGGCCAUGGUGGUGGUGGAGCCUGGGGAGAUGCUGUCCUCUCCUGAGUUCGAGGGCGGCCCCUUCAGCUCCCAAUCCGACGAGACCUCUCUCAGCACCACCGCCUCAUCUGUCACGCCCACCAGCGAGCUGCUGCCCCUGGGCCCAGUGGAUGGCCGCUCCUGCUCCAUAGACUCCGCCUACGGCACCCUCUCCCCGACCUCCCUGCAAGACUUUAUGGCCCCAGCCCCUACGGUGGAGCCAGCACUCCGGCCCCCAGAGUCAUCACAAGCCCCUUCACCCCCACCCUCGCCCCGCCUCCGCCGACGCACUCCUGUCCAGCUGCUGCCCUGUCUGCCCCACCUGCUCAAGUCCAAAUCUGAGGCCAGUCUCCUCCAGCUGCUAUCGGGGGCCACCACCCGUGGAGCGCCCCCAGCCCCUAGCCGCAGCCUGUCGGAACUCUGCUUGGCUGCUACCGUCCCUGGCACCAGGACUCAGGGCUCCCCUCAGGAAGCUGGGCCCAGCUGGGAUUGCCAGGGGGCACCAGGCCCUGGCAGUGGCCCCGAGCUGUCAGAGCUGGAGGGUGGAGCCGGCUACCCAGGUGGGGAGCCCAAAGGACCCACCAGGAGGAGCAGAGAGCUGUCCUCGCGGGCCUCGCCCAGGGUCCAGCCUGAGCCCCCCCCAGGGACCUCUGCCCAGCACAGGAAGCUGACGUUGGCCCAGCUCUACCGAAUCAGGACCACCCUGCUGCUUAACUCCACCCUCACUGCCUCGGAGGUCUGAGCAGAGGGAGGCUCCCAAGGGUGCCACUGACCAAGGGACAGCAGACAGCACGCCUCCUGGGGUGUGCCGGCCCCUGCUCCAGCUGCCGCCUUAGGUGUGCACGAGCGGAGUGCUGGGCAGGACCCCUGCCACCGCCCCCAGGGCCCAAUUUGCACUUUGCCAGACUGGAUGGAAGUGGAGGAGGGCUCAGCAGAGGCCCAGGCCCAGGCUGCAGGACCCCCUCACAGUCGUCACUGUCACUAACCUGCCUGUGCCUCUGCCCCCCAGCCUAGGCAGGGUCCCUUGCCCCAUACUCCCUGAAGUCACCAGCUCCUAGCCUCUGGGCUGGGCUCCAGGGCUGGGAUCCCAGGCAGCCCUUCCCACCUCCACCCUCAUCUGGCCCCAAAUGGGACGGUUCCCCUGCCCUCACCUCCCUCCCUCCCUCCCUCCCUCCCUCCCACCUACCCACCCACCUAGUCCUUGGGUUGGGCUCCGUGUAAAGUUGCAUAUUUAUUGAGCUUUUGAUUCUUUUAUAAAGACUUGUAUAUACUCCACCGGAAAGAGUCCUUUGCUUUUGGAACGCCCCCCUUUCGGGACUCAGGUGCACUUGGGCGCCUCCCUGGGCUCCCGCCCCCUCCCUCCGGUGGGGCCCUGCUGGAAGAGACUGUGGGAGAAGUGAAUUAGUGGGGCGGAGAUCGCCUGACCUGUACUCCCAAGAUCAACCCCUGUCCCCUGCCGCAGACAUGAGGUCCACCACUAGAGCCCCCCACGAGGUGCCCUCCCCCACGUGGUACCUUAGAGGGCCCUGCCCUGAGCCACCCCUCUGAGCUUAUGCCAGGGUGGGCCAUGGUCUCAGGCUCUGCUGAGAGUACCCCCUAGAACUCCCCUCCAGGGCGGGGGGGGUGGGCACGCAGUACGUGGGGAGGGUGGGUCUCCCACCUGGAUACUUCUGGCCCAACCCCUCAUGGCUGAGGGCGGGCUCUGAGGCCCAGAGAGGGGAGGUCACCUCCCUAGGAAGCGUUGGUCUCAGGGUUGAAGCUAGAACCCAGGCGUGGGACCUGGCUGCAGCCCUGUGCUGUGUGCACCUCGCCCACCAGCCGCCUCAGCCUGGUCUGUGCACAGGGGAAGGAAGUUAGUCCAGAGCCCCACCCAUGGGCACCCCUUUGGGGCAAGAACCUGAGAAGUGGGCUGCUCUGUGGGCACGUGCUGGAGCCUCUGAAGGGUGGGGAGACCGGCUAGAGAGAGUCCCCUGCCUGGGCAGCCAGGCUGGGAGCCAGCAGCCCCUGUCCCGCAGGCCCUCCUCCUCCUCCUGCUGGGUGCCC